AUUGAGAGUUAAUUCAGAGGCUGUUGCUCAUGUGUUUUAUUGUAGUGUGGAAUAAAUCAAACUAGUGUUUGAAAGUCCUGGUCUUUAGCUUAGUGGAGUUAGUUCCUAUUUUUAUGUAAGUUUUUGUUUUAAAUAGACCUGCUAUGUACGUGACUGUUAUGUCACUUUCUCUAUCAUUCAAGUUCAAUAAGAAAAGCCUCUAAAGCUUUGGCAUGUUCUGUCCCCUGUUCACUGUUCAGAACCAAAACUACAUAAGUCUUUCCAGUUUUGCCCUUCUAAGUUUAGUCCCCUGUAAAGUUGCUUUCCUGUCCCUGUUGCUAUUUUGGUGUAAAUUCUCAAUUGUUCCGGCUAGAGUCCAACACUUGGUAUCAGAGCAUACCUGGGGUAUAUGCCAAAGUAUCAAUCUCGCGAGGAGAUGACAAAUAGCAGUAGCAGUGGCAACAAUGGAAAUGGUGAGAAAGAUGGACAAGUCACUCUCCAUUAUCUGAUGCUUUACCAGAUCGAAUUAUGGUGCAUGGGCGAUCAAAUGAGAGUUUUUAUGCUGGCACAAGGAGUAUGGGAUGCAGUUGAGCCCAGGACUGCAAAUACCAUUGUCGAAUCAAAGAGAGAUAACAUGGCAUUAGCAACCAUUUAUCAGGGGAUACCUGAAGACCUUCUAAUGGUGUUAGCAGAGAAGAAGACAGCGAAGGAAGCAUGGCAAGCCCUAAAAACAAUGUUUAUGGGAGCAGAUAGGGUAAAGGCUGCAAGAAUUCAGACAUUGAAAGCUGAAUUUGAGGCAUUAAGUAUGAAGGAAGUGGAAGGUGUUGAUGAAUUUACUGUGAAGGUAAUCAACACAGUUAGUACCCUGCGCACUCUUGGAGACACCAUAGAAGAGUCCUAUGUAGUGAAGAAACUGCUAAGGGUUGUUUCAUCUAAGUUUCUUCAAAUUGCCUCUACUUUGGAGCAAUUUGGUGAUUUAGAGACAAUGACAGUCGAAGAGGUUAUUGGAAGACUGAAAGCCCACGAAAAAAGGAUGAAAGGCCAUGGAGAGAGUGAUGAAAGGAAACUUCUCUUGACUCAUAAGGAAUGGUCAGAGAGGAAUAAGAAGAAAACAGAUGGGGAAACCAAGCAAAAGUCAAAUAGGGGCAAUGUUGGAAACUCACGUGGUCGAGGCAGGGGCAGAGGUAGGUCUGGUGGUCGUGGAGGUCGUGGUAGAGGGGGGUCAUAUCAUCAAAAGGAAGGGAAUCACCAAGCAUCUGGUAGUCAAGACAAGAGUGGGAUCCAAUGCUACAACUGCCAGGAGUUUGGACACUAUGCAGUUGAGUGUAAGAAUCCCAGAAGAGAAAGAAAUCAACAAAACAAUUUGAUACAAGACCAUCAUGACAAUGAACCUGCUUUGCUUCUAUCAACUUUCGAACAUGGUGAAGUAUUUCUCAAUGAAGAAAAUGUGACCCCACAGUUAAGAUCACAAGGUGACAUCUUCAGUCAGUCAAGUAUGUGGUAUCUUGACACAGGGGCUAGUAACCACAUGACUGGAGAUAAGGGCAAGUUUAGAAAUCUGAAUGAGUCAAUUCAAGGAUAUGUGAAGUUUGGGAAUGAAGCGAAAGUCCGUAUAGAAGGAAAGGGUUCAAUUGUCUUUCAAUCCAAGGAUGGGAGUCAACGCAAGCUUGAUGAGGUAUACUAUAUCCCAGACUUAUGCAGUCAUAUAAUAAGCCUGGGACAACUUGCAGAGGGAGGAGAUGAAAUAAGAAUUAAAGAUCCAUUUUUGUGGGUCCACGAUGUCACUGGGAAAUUACUAAUGAAGGUUAGAAGGUCCUCAAAUAGAUUCUAUAAAAUAGAGUUGGAAGAAGUCAAAGGAACAUGCUUGAUAGCAAAAUCAAAUGACCCAUCGUGGUUAUGGCACAUGAGAAUGGGUCAUAUUAACUUCAACUCAAUGAAGUAUAUGCAGGAGAAGAAAUUAAUAGAAGGAAUGCCUAAGAUGUCCAUUCCAUCACAGCCAUGCGAAGGGUGCUUAGUAGGAAAGCAAGUAAGAAAACCAUUUCCUUCACACUCUAAUUAUACAGCAAAGAAAAGGCUGGAGCUAGUUCAUGGUGAUAUUUGUGGCCUUGUUUCACCUCCUACACCCUCAGGGAACCGUUACUUCAUGCUACUUGUUGAUGAAUUUAGCAGAGUAAUGUGGGUUUAUUUGCUAAAGUCAAAAGAUGAGGCAUUUGAAGUCUUUAAGAACUUCAUAAGGAGAGUAGAAGUAGAGACUGGGGAGAAGUUGAAGAUGUUUAGAACAGACCGUGGGGGUCAGUUCUUGUCAAAUGAAUUCACCCAAUACUGCAAUGAAACGGGUUUGGAAAGACAUUAUACAACACCAUUCUCCCCACAGCAAAAUGGUGUGGUGGAGAGACGGAACCGAACAGUGCUCGAAAUGGUUAGAUGUAAUCUGAAGACCAUGAAGAUGCCGGAUGUUCUGUGGGGGGAAGCUGUAACUCACUCAGUAUAUGUUCUGAAUAGGGCACAUACGAAAGCUUUAAGUGAUACAACUCCCUACGAGAGGUGGACUGGAAGAAAACCGAACGUGGAACACCUUAGGGUGUUUGGUUGUAUAGCUCACAUGAGAAUUACACAAAGAAUCAUCUGAAGAAGCUAGACGAGAGGAACAUACGACUGGUUCAUCUGGGAAUUGAAAAGGGAACAAAGGCGUAUAGGUUGCUGGACCCAGAUACCGGGAAGAUAUACGUGAGUAGAGAUGUAGUAUUUCGAUGAACAGCAAGGUUGGGUGUGGGAGAAGUGUGUGAAAAUUAAAGUGGUACCAGGUAUAAGUUUCACUGUUGAAGGUUUUAACCUAGACGAGGCUUAUGAUGAUGAAGUCGACUGGGAUCCGGAUACCUCACAACAAGAAAUUGGGUCUCCUCUAAAUAAUGAUGAGUGGGCUGAAGACUCCCAGCCCAUUAAUUCUGAAGUCAACUCUCAGUCAAGCCCAUUUAUUGAUACAUCAGGUACGCCAAAUUCACCUGGUACACCAAAUACUCCAAUUCCGAUAGCAACUCCCAGCACCGCCUCAAGCUCCACAGGCGGUGGAGCCCCGAAGCGCUAUCGAAUGCUCACCGAGUUGUACGAGAACACCGACGAAAUCAACCUACCCCCAGAAGAAUUGUUGAUGAUCCGCAAUGAUGGAGAACCAACAUCAUACAUAGAGGCGAGUAAGAGUAGCGAGUGGGUAGCUGCUAUGGAUUCCGAAUUGGCAUCAAUUGAAAAAAACAACACCUGGAAGUUAGUCUAUCUUCCAAAGAAUCGAAAACCCAUAGGUUUAAAAUGGGUGUACAAGUUGAAGCGAGAUCCAACUGGGAAGAUCAUAAAGCACAAAGUGAGGAUUGUGGCAAAGGGGUACGUCCAAAAACACGGAAUCGACUAUGACGAGGUUUUCGCUUCGGUGGCCAGAAUUGAAACGGUACGCCUCAUUCUAGCUUUAGCAGGAACUAAUGGAUGGUGGGUGCACCAUCUUGAUGUGAAAUCAGCAUUCCUUAAUGGCGAAUUAGAACAAGAAGUAUACGUCUCACAAAUUGAAGGUUACCAGAAAGAAGGAGAGACGAACAAGGUGUACAAACUGACUAAGGCUCUGUAUGGCUUAAAGCAAGCCCCGGGGGCCUGGAAUGCGUGUUUGGAUCGAUACCUAAAACAAUUGGGUUUUGCUUGCUGUGCUCAUGAAUAUUCAGUAUACACCAAGAAGCACAAUGGUGACAUACUGAUUGUUGGGGUAUAUGUAGAUGACCUACUUGUAACUGGUAGCUGUCACAAGCAAGUUCAAGAUUUCAAAAGCAAGAUGAAUACCAAGUUUGAGAUGAGUGAUCUUGGUCUCUUAUCAUAUUACUUGGGCAUUGAAGUAAGUCAACAGGAUGGUGUGAUUACACUAAAGCAAGAAUCCUAUGCUAAGAAUUUACUCAUCAAGACCCGGAUGUUAGAUUGUAACCCCACCAAGAGCCCAAUGGAACAUAAGCUAAAGCUUCGCAGGGAUGAAGAAGGAGAGUUGGUGAAUCCCACUGAAUACAGGAGCAUCGUUGAAGGACUCAGGUAUCUGACCCAUACCCGUCCAGAUAUACUGUUUGCAGUUGGAGUAGUAAGCCGCUACAUGGAAAGGCCAACUACAAAACACCUUCAAGCUGUUAAGGGAAUACUCAGGUAUGUGAAAGGCACCCUUGACUAUGGUCUGAAGUACUCAAGAGGAAGAAAAGAAGUUGUGAUUGUUGGAUACACUGACAGUGAUCUAGGGAAUGAUGUGAAUGAUAGGAGAAGUACAGGUGGAAUGGCUUUUUAUGUGAAUGGAAAUUUGAUUACAUGGGCCUCACAAAAUCAUAGAUGUGUUGCCUUAUCCUCCUGUGAAGCAGAGUUUAUGGGUGUUCUAACCUAUAAGUCCUAUUGGGUGUUCUAACCUAUAAGUCCUAUUGGGUGUUCUUACAAGAUCAUCGCGAAGACUCUUGCUUCAAGGCUUAAAAGGGUGGUGGAUUAGGUAAUUGAUGAAGUCCAAACUCCUUUCAUUGCGGUUCGGAACAUUCUUGAUGGUCCUCUGGUUGUUAAUGAGGUUUUUGCAUGGGCGAAGAAAUCCAAACACUAGCUCUUUCUCCUCAAAAUUUAUUUUGAUAAGGCUAUUGAUUCCAUAAGUUGAAAUUAUUUGGAUUCGGUGAUGAUGCAAAUGGGUUUCGGGGAAAAAUGAAGAUUUUGGAUUCGUUGUUGUCUUUCCUCGGCUAGGGCCUCGGUUCUUCUUAACGACUCGGCUACAAAAAAAUUUCAAUUUACGCGUGGGGUGCGCCAAAGGGACGCUCUCUCCCUGUUUCUCUUCAUCAUCGUCAUGGAAGAACUUCACGUGGCUAUAAAGUCCACGGCUCACUUAUGUAUUUUUAGUGGGAUAAAAUUGCCUAAUAAGGGCCCGACAUUCUCCCACCUCUUUUUAUGCCGAUGACACUCUUUUUUUGGGAGAGUGGUCUAGCUUGAAUUUUACCAACCUUUCCCGAAUUCUUAAGUGCUUUCGUGUGGCUUCAAGACUUAAAGUGAAUUUUCAUAAAUCCAAGGUAUAUGGCAUUAGAGUUUCUAAUGAUGAAGUUUCCAAUUGUGCUCGUAUCUUGAGGUGUGAUGCCGCCUCAUUUCUGUUUACUUAUUUGGGGGUUACCGUUGGUGCUAACAUGUCGCUUAAACAAAAUUGGGGUGCGGUUAUGGAAACGGUGGAUAAAAAACUCACUUCUUGGGGUAUAUGUAGAUGACCUACUUGUAACUGGUAGCUGUCACAAGCAAGUUCAAGAUUUCAAAAGCGAGAUGAAUACCAAGUUUGAGAUGAGUGAUCUUGGUCUCUUAUCAUAUUACUUGGGCAUUGAAGUAAGUCAACAGGAUGGUGUGAUUACACUAAAGCAAGAAGCCUAUGCUAAGAAUUUACUCAUCAAGACCCGGAUGUUAGAUUGUAACCCCACCAAGAGCCCAAUGGAACACAAGCUAAAGCUUCGCAGGGAUGAAGAAGGAGAGUUGGUGAAUCCCACUGAAUACAUGAGCAUCGUUGAAGGACUCAGGUAUCUGACCCAUACCCGUCCGGAUAUAUCGUUUGCAGUUGGAGUAGUAAGCCGCUACAUGGAAAGGCCAACUACAAAACACCUUCAAGCUGUUAAGGGAAUACUCAGGUAUGUGAAAGGCACCCUUGACUAUGGUCUGAAGUACUCAAGAGGAAGAAAAGAAGUUGUGAUUGUUGGAUACACUGACAGUGAUCUAGGGAAUGAUGUGAAUGAUAGGAGAAGUACAGGUGGAAUGGCUUUUUAUGUGAAUGGAAAUUUGAUUACAUGGGCCUCACAAAAACAUAGAUGUGUUGCCUUAUCCUCCUGUGAAGCAGAGUUUAUGGCAGCCACUCUAGCAGCUUGCCAAGGAAUAUGGCUUAGAAGACUCCUCAGGGAAAUAACAGGGCAAACUGUGCCACCUGUAACUCUGCUGGUUGAUAAUCGUUCAUCACUUGACCUCAUGAAGAAUCCAGUCUUUCAUGGAAGGAGCAAGCACAUAGAUAUAANGAAUGCAUAGAAAAUGGGGACAUAACAGUGAGUCAUGUAAGCAGCAAAGAGCAGAAGGCUGACAUACUCACCAAGACACUAGGAAGAAUUAAACAUGAAGAAAUGUGGAAUCUUAUUGGAGUCAAGAAGUUUUAAGCCUCUGAAUUAAGGGGGAAAGUAUUGAGAGUUAAUCCAGAGGCUGGUGCUCACGUGUUUUAUUGUAGUGUGGAAUAAAUCAAACUAGUGUUUGAAAGUCUUGGUCUUUAGCUUAGUGGAGUUAGUUCCUAUUUUUAUGUAAGUUUUUGUUUUAAAUAGACCUGCUAUGUACGUGACUGUUAUGUCACUUUCUCUGUCAUUCAAGUUCAAUAAGAAAAGCCUCUAAAGCUUUGGCAUGUUCUGUCCCCUAUUCAGAUUACCAAAACUACAUAAGUCUUUCCAGUUUUGCCCUUCUAAGUUUAGUCCCCUGUAAAGUUGCUUUCCCGUCCCUGUUGCUAUUUUGGUGUAAAUUCUCAAUUGUUCCGGCUAGAGUCCAACACGGCAAACGUAGAAAAUCUUACCUCCUUCUAUGUGUCUAACCUUCGAGGUGAGGCAUUCAAAAAGGAGAUUUGGAAAUCUUGUGCUUUGUUGGGAAAUCUUUCAUAUAUCUACAUU
Molecule: long non-coding RNA, 6638 nt
Filed under: Lactuca sativa (garden lettuce)
Lineage: Eukaryota; Viridiplantae; Streptophyta; Magnoliopsida; Asterales; Asteraceae
Description: long non-coding RNA (LSAT_LNC009796)
Source: RNAcentral